Molecule: long non-coding RNA, 917 nt
Filed under: Marmota monax (woodchuck)
Lineage: Eukaryota; Metazoa; Chordata; Mammalia; Rodentia; Sciuridae
Source: RNAcentral
UAAGCCGAGAAGAAAAGGAAGAAAGCAACCGAACCAGCCUCUGACAGGAAUAUGAAAGCAAAAUUUCAGAGGCAGGAGAAACACCCCAAAGGGGGAGAAGACUGCAGCUUGCAGUAAUCUGUAAAUGAUUGCUGGUAAAAGCUGGAGGCUUCAGGCUUGAUUUGUGUUUGUUCCAAAAGAAAGCCAAGGAGGACGGUGUUAAUAAAGAGAGAUUUAACUCAGAGCUGUGCUUGGAAUAAAGUGGGCUACAAAAAGGUCAAAUUUGAUCAGUUGGAGCAGAUUACAGGGGCUUUAAAAGGUGGCGUGCGGAACUGGAGCGGGGCUGGGAAGUAAUAUAGCGCAAGAUUGAUUCCGAGGGUGGAGAGAAGCCAGGACAAGCGCUUAUCAGUCCUGGAAGGAGGAAGAGCCGCGCCGGGCGCCGCUCGCUCCGGCCAGAGCCCAGCGGUGCCGCGUCCCCGUCGUCACCCGGUCCUGGUCCCCUCUCUCCUCUCCGGAUCCGCUUGCAGCCGCCUCUUAGACAAUGGUUUCCCUAAUCUCUGACUUGGAUCCCCUGAGAGACUGGAAAGUUUUAAGGUAGGCCCGCUCUGCUUUCUCUCCCCGCUGUCUCAGUUCACCGCCAAGUUCCUGCCCGCCCCCACCGCGGCUGAGCGGAGCCGGUUCUCGCAGAGCCCCGCGAUGGGCUGAGUGACAGGCACCUCCGGUGGGAGGAAUACUGUUUUGACACCGAGACAACUUCAAGCAGAUGGGGGGAGGCAGGGAAUGUGCAGUCCUGAGCCUCCCUGUUGGAGGGGAUGCAGAUGCCUGGGUAAUAAUGGAGGGCAGCCCUGUUUUAGUGAUUCAGACCCUUGCUCGCAGCUGGGGUUCCUCCUAUUUAAUUAUUGGGCUUCAAGGGACACUGAAGGGACCAGGUGGAAUGU